AUUGAACGCUGGCGGCAUGCUUUACACAUGCAAGUCGAACGGUAACAGGUUAAGCUGACGAGUGGCGAACGGGUGAGUAAUGCAUCGGAACGUGCCCGGUCGUGGGGGAUAACGCAGCGAAAGCUGCGCUAAUACCGCAUACGAUCGAAGGAUGAAAGCGGGGGACCGUAAGGCCUCACGCGAUCGGAGCUGCCGAUGUCAGAUGAGGUAGUUGGUGGGGUAAAGGCUCACCAAGCCAACGAUCUGUAGCUGGUCUGAGAGGACGACCAGCCACACUGGGACUGAGACACGGCCCAGACUCCUACGGGAGGCAGCAGUGGGGAAUUUUGGACAAUGGGCGAAAGCCUGAUCCAGCAAAGCCGCGUGCAGGAAGAAGGCCUUCGGGUUGUAAACUGCUUUUGUACGGAGCGAAAAGGUCUCCUCUAAUACAGGGGGCUCAUGACGGUACCGUAAGAAUAAGCACCGGCUAACUACGUGCCAGCCGCCGCUGUAA
This 493-nucleotide ribosomal RNA is filed under the name uncultured bacterium. RNAcentral's name for it is "partial 16S ribosomal RNA". It matches the Rfam family "Bacterial small subunit ribosomal RNA", at positions 29 to 523 of the family's 1533-position model. The record is from RNAcentral.